UUGAGAGCCCUGGAGACUGUCGUCCUCUCUUUAUCCAUGUAACAAAUGCAACUUGCAAAGGACCAGUGACUUACAUUCAUCCCUCUGCCAAUGUACCUCAGCUCUGUACUGGAGGGGUCCCUCCAGGAUGAGUGAAACUGUCAGUCUCCAUGGCCCAUUCAGUCCUGGGCAUCA
This 174-nucleotide small RNA is filed under the name Chelonoidis abingdonii (Abingdon island giant tortoise). RNAcentral describes it as "TUC338 (ENSCABG00000014652.1)". The record is from RNAcentral. Lineage: Eukaryota; Metazoa; Chordata; Testudines; Testudinidae.